GAAUGAGGAAGGCCAUGAAGGGAUUCUUGUUUGUGCUACAUCACUCUUCACUGAAUUAGAAAACCACUUGUGGUCAAUGUCAAGUUGCCCACCAGCCUGCUGUAGUUCAUUUAGUGAACAGCAGGGGGCAAUAAGUACCUCAUGCACAUUUACCUAAACCGCUCCACCCCCACAAGUGUACACUGUAAUGCUUUCUCACAGAACGCAGAACGUCAUUCCAUCUGAUUCAUAACCAAACAGGUGACAUUAUACUUAGUGACAAAUGUAGGUGUAUAUAAGAAGAUGGGGUGAUGACAUUCUGUGACAUACUACACAUUUACCAGAACAGAAAGUUUAUUUCAACUAAAAGCAUUCUAGCAGGUCACAUUUGUCCUUGAAUCACCUCAGUCUCCAAAUGAAAAUGGAAACAUAGCCUCAACCUUGGUGUGGCUGAAAGAAUUGUCGUCAGCGUUAAAAUAAACUAUGUAGCCAAUAAGCUAAAGAAGCAAUCAGAACAAGCGACAGUAGUCUGGUGAAAAUGAAGCACCAAUGUGAAAGGGUAAGCCAGACAAUGUCAAAAAGGAGAAUGAAGACAGACCAGUUUAGAAAACAUCAGCUUUUCCCAGUCUACAGACGCACACGGCCAGUUAGCGACAUAGCAAGUUUGCACUGUAUCAGAAAAAGAUUUGUUUAUCUGAGAUAAAGGAGUAUCUACUGCAACUCUUCUUUUGAGCACAUCAUAAAAAGUACAGCUGUUCUCAGGAAUAAGGCAUCAUGGAUAGCUCCACAUCAGUGUCGAUUGGGAUAAGUGUGGCGUUUGGGAUCUUGGGAUUGUUCCUGCUGAUUUGUUUGGUGCAGAUCUGCUGCAAAAAAAUUAAAUGCUGCAAGUGCAAAAAGCCUUCAGUGAAAGACAAAAUUUUAAAGAAAGUCAGGAUAAAGAAUUUGCCUCCAUUUUCAAUCAGCAGAAUCGUUGAGAAGAAAUAACGGCCAUCUCAUAUAUCAAUGCCUGUAAAUAGUGUACAUGCAUCCUGAAAGAAUCUAAUUCAGUCCAUGAUUUCUUUAUUUACAACACUUGUAAUUGUAAUUAUUUCCAUGUUUUGAAAGCAUCUGUCAGUUUAUUUAUUAUUUCUGUGAAAAGUGUGAAUCAUGCUUCUGAGGUAAAGGUGUCAGAGAUGGGAUGUGUAUGAUUCAUAACAGGUUAUCACUUUCCCACUACAAUAGGGAAAAGCAGCACACCGUUUUAUUGAGAUCGCUUCUCUUAGUGUUUUUCACAUUCUCUGACUCAAAAUUUGUCUCCAUAUCUUGCUUUUCAAUCUAACCACAAAAACAUAGUGAAGCCUUCUUCUCAAGCUGAACCAUUUCCACAUAAAAAUGACUUCAAAGGUCACCAUAAUACACUGAUGAAAUACCAGUCUCUUCAGUCAUAGUAGAAAGAUCACAUCAUCCUCAUUGUGAUUUGCAGUGAACUCUUCUCGGGUGAUAUAUUUUCUGUUAAGCAAUAUUAUGUCUGUGAUGUCAAUUGGAUCUUGACUUCUAUAUCAUCAUAUCUGAUGUAAAGGAAAAUGUGGUCAUAUAUUAUAUAUAUCUUCUAUGAGGUAAAUAAAUGUAACAAAUCAUGUAGAAAUGUAGCAUCAUUUAUGGGAAAAGUCAUCAUUUUAUCAAACUUUGAUAAUUGCCUUAUUCUUUUAAACAACUGAGAAGAUAGUAUUCAAAAUACAUUUUAUAAAUAUCACCUGUCAAGUUUAUAAUAUAUAUUAUAUCAGCAUAUGAGAGUCAAAUUAAACUACUGGGACUCAUCUCAAGAUCACUCAUCUAUUGCCAAUAUUAUGAAGAAAAGGUCAGUCAAGUAUAGAAAAUAUUGAAAAUAUUCAAAUCAGGAUUGUCAGAAUCACAGUGCAUAAAAAAUCUCUGUCAAAACCAACACAUGCUGAACGACAUUUACUAACCCGGCAACAUUCUUCUACUUGAUUGGUGUUUAUUCUCUUUAGAAUGCAGUGUGAAGUAUCAGUUCCCUGAUCCUUCCGAUUCAAUUUCAGCGAGUGAAAAACAAAUUUAUACUCGCAUGUGUUAUGUAUUAUGUACGUUAUCGUCUCUGACAGACAGCAUGUUGAAGCCGCUCAGGCUGCCAUUUUCUCCCUCUUCUCGGAAAGCGAUAACGUAGUCAAAACAUCUGGUAGUGUGGGAUUUCCAGGAAAUGCGUGUACACACUGAACUCUACUUCUCGUAAAUACUUCCAUGUAUUGUGUAUGUUAUUUUUUGACAGACACCAAUGUCGUGAUAUUCAAAUGAUGUAGAUUUGAAAACAGCAAGUAUUCAGUGAAGUGAUUGAUGCUCAUCAAUGUUUUUACUUCCAAUAUUCCACCUGACAGUCAGCCUAAAUUUUUGACGGACGUGAUAACAUACAUAAAGUGUGAAUUGUGUUUGAUUUUUGGGUGAUUAUAAAGUGUGCUGGAGAUGUUCAAAAUGCUUUUUGUGUAGUUCAUUAUACCUAUUUUACAGAAUAAAGUUUAUUUUGUGGCUUAAAUUACGUCACUCAGAGC
This is a long non-coding RNA of Megalobrama amblycephala (Wuchang bream), 2519 nucleotides long. RefSeq lists it as uncharacterized. NCBI's taxonomy places the organism in Eukaryota, Metazoa, Chordata, Actinopteri, Cypriniformes, Xenocyprididae. The record is from RefSeq and is a predicted model, not a curated record. The transcript has 4 exons.